GAUACAAUUACAAAGCGAAAUAGAGAAUCCUCUGAGCAAGUCUAAAGCGACUUAGCAAAGCGGCUGCAGGAAAACUCUAACAGUCCUUUCCCCGCUUUGGUCCUUUGAAAACUCUUGAGGUGUGUCUUCUUUGGUGCAUUUGAAUGUCAUUGGCUUCUUCUUCAGAGUGUCCCCUCCUGGACUGUCCCUUUCACGUCGAGGUGUGAAGCUGCAGCUGUAACCUGAAACCUCACUGUACUAUCUGUCCCUCACAUUCCAAUGCACUCAAUGCAGAUACAGUUGGCUUUAUGCCUCAAUGAGUGAAUUUAACAAAGCAUGCAUUGUUUAAGUCUUCAUCUUUUAACUAGUACACUUUAAUUACAACAAUCCAUCAUUAAUGAUCCCCGUUCAUCACACUUCAUCAUAAGAUCUAAGACAGUUCAUGUGGUUCAAUUUUCAAGACAUUUGCCUCAGUCGGCUGCCUUACAUUAAGUUGUUCAUUUAUUACCUGACAGGAGAAAAAACUCCCAAAAAACUCUCUUUGGGGAUAAAAUUGGGAGAAAUCCAUAAAGGACGGCAAUUAGCAUCCGUCCCCAGGUAAUGGGGUAAAGGUUAAUGUAAUACCUAAUAUCUAAUAACACACAAACUAUAAUUCUAACACUAAACAUUAUUACACGUACUAUAACUUCCAUAACUACGGGUGCACUUCUGGCUUAAAUCCCUAACAAUUCCCUCCUUGCUCACAGUUCACUGUGAGCAUCUCUCAAGGACUGAAAAAUUAUCAUACAGUCACAUCCGUCAACAGUGAUUGUCCCUCAUCAUCUACUCGCUACCGAUUUCCCUGUAUACUAGUCUCACUAAGCGCAAUAUCGACCAAUUCCUGCAGGAAUCCAAGGAUGCAGGAGAUGCAGCUUCAUCCGUAGUGGACUAGAUCAUGACCGUAACACAAGAAGGGUUAACGCAGACGGGCAUGCACUUUUUGUUGUGCAAUAAUACUGACAAACCCGUUGGUGAGAGGAUUGUCGUCGCCUUAGUUGUCUCUCAGCUGCUGGUUCAAGCUGUCAGUGGGGCUUGUGCUCUGGUCACCAAGCCACCAGGAGCUGUGUUGUUGGAGAUGAUCGCACAACAAACAGAUCCAAACAUUUUGCAGAAGUUACCGUUUCCAGCUAACAUCAUGUCUAAAGCCACUUUAUUAUUCUAGGCCAUGAGUCUCAUUUCAUCCAAUGACUCAUGCAGGUCUUCAUUUGUAGCACCUGUCUGUCAUUAAAUGCAGUUUCAUCCAAUCAACAUUUUAUUAUUGUCCACAAAUUCAGCUGUGAUCUGAUUCUGGAAUUCAACAUCAUCUGGCACCCUCCUUGGCACCUUCUUAGCAUCCUUUUCACUUAUUCAUGUGACCUUCAGACUAAUGUGGAUCUGUCUUUCUUCUUAAGGCUUUCUCUGGUGGUGUUUAUUCCUGGUGAUGUGAUCUUAACUACCAGUAACUGUGUCUACUGUUAACCGCAUCAGUGUCUUAGGUAAACCGUGAGUUUCCCCUGAGGAAUCAGUGUAGUUCGUAACACAAAUAAUUCCUUAUUCAAUCUUUCUCCCACAUGGCUGCUGUUGGAAAACCUCCUGAAGAUGUCUCCCUGGAUCUCUUAGUGAAUCUGGUCUCAGUCGCUUAAAGUUCAACACAUAUCAACACAUUAUAUAGGGACAAGGUAUCUGAAACUCAAGGAAAAACACUAUAGGACAUAUAAUUUACCCCCCCACCCCCAGGGGCAGCUCUGGAUGUGUCUUUCAAUUGAUGCUCCCAUCCCUGUUUGUUUCUGGAGGGAUGACAUCAUCAAACAGAAUAACCGCUCUAUAUGUGGCGGUGCCACAGUGAUGCUUCAAGUUGACAACACAUGUUGAGGAGGAGAACAUAACCAGUGAGUCAAUGGUUGAGACCCUGCCCUUCAUAGUUUACUCUCCCUCCAUAAAUGGACACCAUCUCUCCACUUGCAUUGUAUAAUGAUCUCAGCUCUGUUUGGAGUGAAAUAGAAACAACACAUACAAGAACUUUUAGCCUCCUAAAAACAAUUCUUAUUUUCAAUUCUUACUAUGAUAUAUGCCUUUCAACAGAGACGAUGCUGUAGUUGUCUGAAUAGGCAUAAUUCUAUGAAAUGGUGAACUUCUCUCUCCUCCUUCUGACCAGAUGUUCCCCGUGAAUGUGUCUAAUGCUGCUUAGUUUUAUCUUGGUAAUGAUUGGUCAUUGCAACCGAAUAGCCGCUCUGAAUUCAAAAUCCUCAAGUUCUGUUACUGUAAUAUCGUUGGCGUUUGUUUGUUUGAACAUUCUUAUCAUAUGUGUUUAUCAAGUGUCCCAGCCGUUCCCGUUCCUUCUCUAAUCUGGAAAUGGUGUGUCACAUUAGCUCCGUGUCUGUGGAUUUCUUCGUUGUAUGUGUGUGCCUAUACUUCUCCUUCUUGAUGUUCCUCUGCUGGAAUAUCUGUUGUUGUCAGCGGUUUGGUCAGAUGACACGUAGCUGUCAUCCUAGACGUGUGAUUAAGCUUCACGCUCCCUCCUUGGACCUCGAAUCACCUCAGUUCCUGUGAGCAGACUGCUCUGCUAACCCGAGGUCCCAUUGGGACAAGAUUCCCCAAUCGGCUGUUGAAUAGAGAAGCACAAGUGGUGCAGCUAUGUGUGUGCGUGUGUGUGUGUGUCUAGAUGUGCGUGUGAGUGUGUGUGUGUGUGUGUGCUCUCCCAAUUCCUGUUGCUCUUUCUUCUGGUUUACCAAACUCUUCAAGCAAACAAGUUCUACCAUCUAGUGUGUGCAUAUUUAAACAUAACUGGAACUCAACAUUUUACCCACUUAUUUCCCAGUUUUAGCUAUUUCUUUUAAUGUGGAGUAAUUGUAUCAUCUGUGUGUCUCAUCAGUCCUUGUGUCUGUGUAUGAGAAGAGCAAUUUCAUUACACAUUCGUUCCAGGAAGAAAAGUCAGGUUGGAUCUUCCUGUGUUGGCCAUCGUCUGCUGUUAUUCCAAAAAUGCCACUUGAGUAGCUAAACUCUAACAUCUAGUGUUUUCCUAAAACAUUCUAAUCAAUUUGUCAGUUGUUUCAUUGAUAGAAAGAUUGUAUGUUCUUCUUAACACUUUAAAUCUUAUAAAAUCUACACAACUCUGUUUUGAACCUUAUGAUUGUGUUGUACACUGCAUGCAAUAAUGUUCCCUAAUCGGCAGAUACUCUAGUUGUAUUCUGUUCUCCCCCAGUCCCUCAUGUUGAGGUAGGUGUAAAAGCAUCCCUUCACAUAGCCUUUGGUGAUGCUAAUCACCCCCAGGCCACCUCCUGCCUUAUCCAACAAUGUCGUAAAAACCCCUCAACGCCGUUUCUACUGGGUGUCGUUGCCGAUCUGGACUUUCUCGCAUUGGAGUCGCCUGUUCCUAACUGAAAAGCAAAACAGAGUUAACAAUUGCCAUGCACAUGUAUUCGAGGAAAAAUGUGUCAGUAAAUUUUAUCAUAGUGAAAUAAUUGCUCCCAUUCAAACCGUGUGUGAUUCUUAAAUGACUCUUAGAUGACAUACAACCUGUGGAUGGAUUUUAUGGCUCCGACAGGAGAUUCCUCCUCUUAUCAGUCGUUGUUUUAGGGAGGCCUGCUCACUCCCUCCUCGACCAUGAGUCGCCAUCACCUUUCAACCUCUGCAUCUCCUAAAUGUUGCUUUCUUAGAAGGAAAAAUCUCUUCUUUGUUCCUGCUGUUCUGGUUCUGUUCCCUCUUGUUCAAAUUCACUUCCUGCAAGUCGCUUUGGAUUAGAGCCUCAGCUGAAUGAAAAAUGUAACGCGUUGACGUAAAGAAUGCCUCUGCAUAUCUUUAUCUGCUCCUAGAGUAUUUACACACUGUUUUGAAAAAUUGCCUUUCUUAAAUGGCCUUGUUUCCAACCGAUUUGAGGAGCCAUUCAUGUAUAGAAAUUUAAAUCUCCGACAUAACUGAUUGUUGACCCCCAUAGUCAACUCAGGAAAAAUGAACACCAAUAUUGCCUUCGCGUCCCCAUUCAAUAAUCUCUUUGAGUUUUUGCUUGUAGGUCUCACCCUCAUGGUGUAUGACUGUUCCAUGUCUUCAUCAACUAAUUGACCAACCAAGUUCUCUUUGUUCAUUCUAACCUCGAAGCAAUCUGCUCGUACCAAGUUUACACAAAAAUAUUACCUCACUUUCUCACCCUCACAGUCAAUUUCUUCUCCUUUUACCUUCAGCCUGUUUGCUCUGUUAUGACGUGACAUCACCUUUGAAAACCUGUGCAUUACUGCAUAACUCUUCAACCUGUUUUUCCCAUUUUUACACUUCCACUUGCCCUCGGUCAUACUUUCAAACACCUGCGUGUGUCUCUCAUAACAUUUCAACCUACUUUUCUCUUCUUUGCUGACCUUUGUGACCACUUUCACAAGUGGUUGAGCAUUUGCAGUAUCAGUCUCUAAAACUUCAAUCAAUGUAUCAGAAUGUGAACCUCAAACCCUGGUGAUAUCAACAAAGGUUCUCCAAACCCUUCAGGGUCAUAAAACAACAAUGAAGAUUGUGAGUCCCUUGAUCCCCAAAAAGUACCAGGAGAUAAUAAAUCAACUUAGCAUCAGACCCAUCUGUUCCAGACCCCCCUCCAGUGUUAAUCUCCACUUUUAUUGCUCUUCAGCCCAAAAGCAAAGCAGAGGGUGGGAGACAUGUCUGUUACUUGCAGAUACAAACUCAGCUCAUGCUUAGUUUGAUCCAAUCCAUUCAUUCAUUACUGAUAGAUCACCAACCUCUCAUGGUUAGCGUAUCCAAAUGUAAGAGUGUACUACUUGUUGAACAUUACAGGAUGACCGUCUGUAACAAGUUUCCAUAUUUCGUGUACUGGUGCUAUCAAUGUUCCUUUGAUCAGACAUUUGCUUCCAUCAUCAAGAUACUGUAUCAAGUGUAUCGUGCACUAUACACUCAAUAAACAGCACUCAACAAUUUACCGCCCAUCUCUGAAUUUAGGAGGAAACUCGAAAAACUACAAACAUUAAUACAACAUACGGACAAUAUAUACAACAACUCUCCUAAUCCUUAUCACCUUCAUUCCUCAUUUAAAUCUUUCACAACCUCAUCUCUUAAUUUUCAAUGACUGAUUUCCCCUUUUUUUAAUCAAUCUUCCCUACGGGUUUAAGUCUUGUUUCAGCUGACACUCUCAGCAGUCUAUAAUCUCUAGUCUCCCUUUUUCUACCUGGAAUCUGAGUCGUAAACCGUAGAGGCUGAGGGUGCUUAUCUGAGCUGUUGGAAAGCAGCGGGGGUCGGUGUGUCACCAGUCAGUUGUUUAGGGCUCCUCAGAACUCUGUCUCUAUCAACGCAAGUGGCAUCUGUUGCUGUGGUCACCACAUAUGGGGAGGUGGAGGCUGGGGUGUGCCCAGUCUCUGGUUCUGCCUGGGCUGCAGUGGGUAGGGAAACCUUCCUGGAGGAGCAUUCGACCGUGUGUUCCCUUCAUAUUUCACUGGACACGUUCUUGACCUAUGUCCCACCUGCCCACAUAUAUAACACACAUCACCCCCAUACCCUCCUUGGUAGUAUCCACUCCCUCGGUUAUAUUCACGGCCUCUGCCUCUCCCUCUGUACUGUGGUGGUUGCUGGUAUCCUCUCAAUUGGUUUCUCACUGCUGGACCUACAGUUGGAUAUGUGGCUUCUGGAGGAACAGGGUAUUGAGGUUGUUCAUCACUCACCGACAGUUGUUUCCUGACUCUCCGUUUUUCCGUUGCUUCUGCAUCUGCUGCUGCCAGUUGAACCUUCAGAAGCUGUUUCGUCAGUCUCUUGAUUUUUCCCCAUUCGAUCGUCUCCACUGCUUACUGUUUCUGGUGGUAAUGGGUGAGACGGUCUCUCCAUGUGCUUUCAUCCAUGUCGUCCAGUCCCACUACUCCCUCUAACAGGGACAAGCCUUGCAGCACAGUGUGUCGCCAGAUCACAGCAGUAGAUUUGUUAUUGUCGUGUCUUUCUCCUGUGGCCAAAUGCCAUUCUGUUUCUGCUCUCCUCAGAUAUUGAGACAUGUCUUCACCUUGUUUCAUACUCAGACCCAUCGGGAUGGACAUACUUGGCUUUGUAGGCCAGAUGUUUCGCAUUGUGGCCCAAAAUACUCCUCUGACCUUAUCAAAUGGAGCCUCAUCCUCUUGGUUGGUGGUUCCCGCUCUUGCUUCUAAGGCUCUUAGGUUGUCAGUACCCUCCAUGUGGGCUAUUAAGGCUCUCAUAUCUCCAAGAGUCAACUCAUCACCUAUUGUGUGCCUUUCAAAGAGCAGGAUCAUGGGUUAGCUCCUUCUCCCAAUGGCGGCAAUGCCUUCUCCGGCGCUUCCAUGUCCCGAUGACUCCAGGGUAGAAAUACGCUGGGCUCACAAUCUGCUUCUUCUUCUUCUGUCAGGUCAACAGCAGGUUUGCGGGUGUUUGGGUCGACUGCAGUCCAGUAGACAAGCAGCUGCUUGGUGCGGACACAUCUCUUAUCCUCUCUUUUGAGGGCUCUCUUCUCACUCUUUCUAUUUAAUUUGCCGGCUUCUACAUAAGCCGUAGUGGCUUGAUUUCUCGCUGUUACAGUCUCCCUCCACACCUUGCGCCUGUCUUCACCUGCUGGCGGCGACACCGUUGGAAACCACCCACUCUUUUGCCAUCUUUUCAAAUAUCUAUUCAUCCUACUCCACUCCCUCUCUCUUUCCUUGGACUCAGUUUGUUCUUCCAUGAACUCUCUGGCCCUACCAAGCAAUUUCUGAGUUGUAAGCGCAGCCAUCAUGCAACCUGGAAUACUCUAAACAACUGCUAAGCUGUCCCGUCUGUCCUAGGUGUUACUCUGUCACUAACAGCAAGAAAAACCAAACCAAGUCACUUCUAACAGCUGUCCGAGGAAAUGUGAAAUCGAACUGUCAACCGGAAUCGACACAGUAAAACAAACAACCAAAUCUAAAAGAAAGGAGGGCAAUUUACAACAUCAAAUCAGUCCAAUAACUGCGGUGUAUUUACUAAAAUUAUCCGGUUAGACCACCAAGUUAAACCAACUUAUCAGUACCUCUAACCACAAAAUCAAAUCAAUCACAGAACUGUAAAAAUUAGUAUAAUCAAUGAUCAAUGCCAAAGACUAUGAUUACAAUUGUACAGAGGAAAAGAGAAAGAAUUAACUAUAUCUCAAAUCAAAACUCAAUCUUCAUUCAAAAUUCAAAAGUCUAAAAAUUAAACUUUAAUAAAAUUAAUCUUGAUGUCUAAAAAUGAAUUAAUCCAAAUUAUUAAUCAAAGUUACAAAAUUAAUCAAAGUUAUGAUGAUACAGUCAAACUGCCGGCAAUAUUAAUCAGGAAGUAGAGCAGAAGCACUCCCCCACAAAUGCCGCCAGAGAUUAUACUUCAAUACAAACAAUGAUCCACCCCCAACCCAGAGACAAUGCAAUGACAGUCAAUCUGGUUUCAGCUAAACAUUGGAGAUCGAAAUCAAACAAUUUAUAACAGCUUCUCAAAAGCACCACAUCAAAAUUAAGUCAACCUCCAAUUCCAAUCCAAAAUCGAUUCAGAACUAUAGUACAAACCAAAUUCAACGUAACACUACAGCACUUUAAUGUUUCAAAUAAACGUCAACACCAAUCCAGAUAUCCGUCAAGUUAUCUUAUCAAUCUUUACACUAUCCUAGUAAGGAACGGCAAAUGUGCAUCAAAGUCAACGUCCGAACACGGCAAGUGAAGAAAUUGAACUCCCCCUCUUGUAAUUCCCUUUACAUCCACCAGAUGUGCACUUACUCCAACCACAUGAGGCGCUGUUCAGACAAUAGCUGAAGAUCGAACACAGAACUACCAAAGAGGAAGUGCGUCGACGCCCCUGGACAUGGAUCGUAAAACGCCGUGUGCUGGCGUAGCAAAGAACAAUGGGCUAAAGCUAACUGCUAACCCACGCUAUAUCCCCAGUGGAAUUACCAAUGAGACCCCGUUAGCCGCUAGCAAUGCAGCCUCACGUGGUCCAUCUUGGACUGUUCACCAACACCUUAAUAUGCUACGGUUUUAUAACCCGACGCCGGAGAUGAUCAGUCUCCAGUUCGGAUUCUAUACAUAUAUAUAUAUAUAUAUAUAUAUAUAUACAAUGUUAAGCAAUCACAUACACACAGUAAAUCAUAAUCCGGAACAUCUAUUCAUCAAUCAAGCGCAUGCACCACGUUGCUCAAACACUCACACCAGCAUGCAAAUAUAUAUACACUAUCAUUUACACUAAAAGCGCU
This is a long non-coding RNA of Gasterosteus aculeatus aculeatus (three-spined stickleback), 8158 nucleotides long. The record is from Ensembl. Lineage: Eukaryota; Metazoa; Chordata; Actinopteri; Perciformes; Gasterosteidae.